RNAcentral lists this ribosomal RNA (253 nucleotides) under uncultured bacterium. Its description in RNAcentral is "partial 16S ribosomal RNA". It matches the Rfam family "Bacterial small subunit ribosomal RNA", at positions 524 to 776 of the family's 1533-position model. The record is from RNAcentral. RNAcentral also lists the same sequence under 2 other names.
UACGAACUGUGCAAACGUUAUUCGGAAUCACUGGGCUUAAAGGGUGCGUAGGCGGCUUAUCAAGUAGGGUGUGAAAGCCCCCGGCUUAACCGGGGAAUUGCGCCCUAAACUGACGAGCUGGAGUGGGACAGGGGUGUGUGGAACUUCCGGUGGAGCGGUGAAAUGUGUUGAUAUCGGAAGGAACGCCGGUGGCGAAAGCGACACACUGGGUCUCAACUGACGCUGAGGCACGAAAGCCAGGGGAGCGAACGGG